RNAcentral lists this ribosomal RNA (450 nucleotides) under uncultured bacterium. RNAcentral describes it as "partial 16S ribosomal RNA". It matches the Rfam family "Bacterial small subunit ribosomal RNA", at positions 354 to 796 of the family's 1533-position model. The record is from RNAcentral.
GUGGGGAAUAUUGGACAAUGGGCGAAAGCCUGAUCCAGCCAUGCCGCGUGUGUGAAGAAGGUCUUCGGAUUGUAAAGCACUUUAAGUUGGGAGGAAGGGCAGUAAGUUAAUACCUUGCUGUUUUGACGUUACCGACAGAAUAAGCACCGUCUAACUUCGUGCCAGCAGCCGCGGUAAUACGAAGGGUGCAAGCGUUAAUCGGAAUUACUGGGCUUAAAGCGCGCGUAGGUGGUUCAGCAAGUUGGAGGUGAAAUCCCCGGGCUCAACCUGGGAACUGACUCCAAAACUAGUGAGCUAGAGUACGGUAGAGGGUAGUGGAAUUUCCUGUGUAGCGGUGAAAUGCGUAGAUAUAGGAAGGAACACCAGUGGCGAAGGCGACUACCUGGACUGAUACUGACACUGAGGUGCGAAAGCGUGGGGAGCAAACAGGAUUAGAAACCCUUGUAGUCC